RNAcentral lists this signal recognition particle RNA (278 nucleotides) under Callithrix jacchus (white-tufted-ear marmoset). RNAcentral describes it as "Metazoan signal recognition particle RNA (ENSCJAG00000065836.2)". It matches the Rfam family "Metazoan signal recognition particle RNA". Rfam says of the family: The signal recognition particle (SRP) is a universally conserved ribonucleoprotein. The record is from Rfam by way of RNAcentral. Lineage: Eukaryota; Metazoa; Chordata; Mammalia; Primates; Cebidae.
GCUGGGCAUGGUGACGCGUGCCUGUAAUCCCAGCUACUCAGGAGGCUGAGGCAGGAGAAUUGCCUGAACCCAGGAGGCGGAGGUUGCGGUGAGCCGAGAUCGUGCCAUUGCACUCCAGCCUGGGUAACUCCGUCUCAAAAAAAAAAAAAAAAAAAAAAGAAAAGGUUUUUGUUUGUUUAAGAUGGCGUCUCACUCUGUCCCCAGGCUGGAGUGCAAUGGCAUGAUCUUGGCUCACUGCAACCUCCACUUCCUGGGUUCAGGUGAUUCUCCUGCCUCAG